RNAcentral lists this ribosomal RNA (1374 nucleotides) under uncultured organism. RNAcentral describes it as "SSU rRNA". It matches the Rfam family "Bacterial small subunit ribosomal RNA". The record is from RNAcentral.
UGCCUAACACAUGCAAGUCUAGCCAUUUACUUCGGUAAAGAGCGGCGGACGGGCGAGUAACGCGGGGGUAACCUGCCCUGUACACACGGAUAACAUACCGAAAGGUAUGCUAAUACGAGAUAAUAUACUUUUAUCGCAUGGGAGAAGUAUCAAAGCUCCGGCGGCACAGGAUGGACCCGCGUCUGAUUAGCUAAUUGGUAAGGGAACGGCUUACCAAGGCGACCAUCAGUAGCCGACCUGAGAGGGUGAUCGGCCACAUUGGAACUGAGACACGGUCCAAACUCCUACGGGAGGCAGCAGUGGGGAAUAUUGCACAAUGGGCGAAAGCCUGAUGCAGCAACGCCGCGUGAGCGAUGAAGGCCUUCGGGUCGUAAAGCUCUGUCCUCAAGGAAGAUAAUGACGGUACUUGAGGAGGAAGCCCCGGCUAACUACGUGCCAGCAGCCGCGGUAAUACGUAGGGGGCUAGCGUUAUCCGGAAUUACUGGGCGUAAAGGGUGCGUAGGUGGUUUCUUAAGUCAGAGGUGAAAGGCUACGGCUCAACCGCAGUAAGCCUUUGAAACUGGGAAACUUGAGUGCAGGAGAGGAGAGUGGAAUUCCUAGUGUAGCGGUGAAAUGCGUAGAUAUUAGGAGGAACACCAGUUGCGAAGGCGGCUCUCUGGACUGUAACUGACACUGAGGCACGAAAGCGUGGGGAGCAAACAGGAUUAGAUACCCUGGUAGUCCACGCCGUAAACGAUGAGUACUAGCUGUCGGACGUUACCCCCUUCGGUGGCGCAGCUAACGCAUUAAGUACUCCGCCUGGAAAGUACGCUAGCAGGAGUGAAAUUCAAAGGAAUUGACGGGGCCCCGCACAAGUAACCGGAGCAUGUGGUUUAAUUGAAGCAACGCGAAGAUCCUUACUUAAGCUUGACAUCCUUUGUGACCGAUGCCUAAUCGUAUCUUUCCAUUCGGGGACAGAAGCGACAGGUGGUGCAUGGUUGUCUUCAGCUCGUGUCGUGAGAUGUUGGGUUAAGUCCCGCAUCGAGCGCAAGCGUUGCCUUUAGUUGCCAGCACUAAGUUGGGCACUCUAGAGGGUCUGCCAGGGAUAACUUGGAGGAAGGUGGGGAUGUCGUCAAAUCAUCAUGCCCUCUAUGUUUAGGGCUACACACGCGCUACAAUGGGUGGUACAGAGGGCAGCCAAGUCGUGAGGCGGAGCUAAUCCCUUAAAGCCAUUGUCAGUUAGGACGCUAGGCUGAAACUCGCCUACAUGAAGCUGGAGUUACUAGUAAUCGCAGAUCAGAAUCCUGCGGUGAAUGCGUUCCCGGGUCUUGUACACACCGCCCGUCACACCACGGGAGUUGGGGGCGCCCGAAGCCAAGAUCGCUAACCUUUUGG